GUACAAGCAGUGGGAGCACCCUUUUGGGUGUGACUGCGUACCUUUUGUAUAAUGGGUCAGCGACUUAUAUUCUGUAGCAAGGUUAACCGAAUAGGGGAGCCGGAGGGAAACCGAGUCUUAAUUGGGCGUUAAGUUGCAGGGUAUAGACCCGAAACCCGGUGAUCUAGCCAUGGGCAGGUUGAAGGUUGGGUAACACUAACUGGAGGACCGAACCGACUAAUGUUGAAAAAUUAGCGGAUGACCUGUGGCUGGGGGUGAAAGGCCAAUCAAACCGGGAGAUAGCUGGUUCUCCCCGAAAGCUAUUUAGGUAGCGCCUCGUGAAUUCAUCUCCGGGGGUAGAGCACUGUUUCGGCUAGGGGGCCAUCCCGGCUUACCAACCCGAUGCAAACUGCGAAUACCGGAGAAUGUUAUCACGGGAGACACACGGCGGGUGCUAACGUCCGUCGUGAAGAGGGAAACAACCCAGACCGCCAGCUAAGGUCCCAAAGUCAUGGUUAAGUGGGAAACGAUGUGGGAAGGCCCAGACAGCCAGGAUGUUGGCUUAGAAGCAGCCAUCAUUUAAAGAAAGCGUAAUAGCUCACUGGUCGAGUCGGCCUGCGCGGAAGAUGUAACGGGGCUAAACCAUGCACCGAAGCUGCGGCAGCGACGUUUAUGCGUUGUUGGGUAGGGGAGCGUUCUGUAAGCCUGCGAAGGUGGCCUGUGAGGGUUGCUGGAGGU
RNAcentral lists this ribosomal RNA (717 nucleotides) under Salmonella enterica subsp. enterica serovar Bareilly. Its description in RNAcentral is "partial 23S ribosomal RNA". It matches the Rfam family "Bacterial large subunit ribosomal RNA", at positions 566 to 1280 of the family's 2925-position model. The record is from RNAcentral. Lineage: Bacteria; Pseudomonadati; Pseudomonadota; Gammaproteobacteria; Enterobacterales; Enterobacteriaceae.